CCAGCGAAUGCACCUCUAGCCGCCCUAUCCUCGGAGGGAGUCUCCUAGCCCUCGCUGAUACCUACAGACUCUCCCGCAGUGGGGUCAAAUGCUGUGGCGGAGACCAGUAGUACACAGGCCCCGGUGAGGCCGUGGGAUGCACCACCACCACAACCACCAGCGCCACUACUUCCCCCAAUGGCCCAGAGGCGUUUUAUUAGCCUCCGAAAUUUAGUUAAUUGAUUUAAUUUUUUUUAAUUUCAUUUGAUUUUAAUAUUUCAUUAUUAUUUUCAAGUCUGACUACAAUUUUCAUAUGGCCAUCAAUAAUGUGGCCAAAGGGCAUUAUCCGCAUCCCUAGGCCAACAUAUCCUAGAUCCCAUAGGAGUAUCAACUAUUCUGGUUCUAAAAAUUGAAGAUGUCAUACUAGUGGGACUGCGACGACGAGUCGAUGGUCAAACUCAUCAAGUCGUAUGCGGGGAAGUUCCUGCAGAAGCGGUUUGCUGACGCACAGAACCAGUGGCCCGACCACUAUUGCUGGCCGAGGAGAUCUAGCGUCAGUUCCUAAUAGUCGAUCAAGGAUAAGAUCAAUCGGACCGCCAACCAGGAAGCAGCUGCGAUCGUCUACCGCGGGGAGUCGUCAUCCAUUGGGGUACACAAGCAGAAGAUGGAGACACAACUCAGACGCCCCGUCACUCAGAUGGAGGUGUUCGAGAAGGUUUACAAAAAAAAAGUACGACGACCAGUAGAGCGACCCGAGAGCGAAGGAGGAGAUGUUCUUGAGGAUGAUGGAGGAACGCCAGAGACAGCAAAGCAGCGAUGAAGAGCUUCCAUUGUCCUCUCAAGGCUCCGUGGCCCCGGACGAGCAGCUGAUCGUCGGAAGAGGGACCGAGUAUUCGAUCUCAGCUCUGAGGCCGACCACUCGAUUGUUGGAUCAUCGCAGGCGACCCGUUCGACUACUCCCUCGCCCUCACCACCACAGCUGCAGCGCCCCGACAUAGAUGAUUGGGUGUUGGCACUCGAGCGCUACAUCAGAAGCAUCGAUCCCAACUGACCCGAUUAUCUGGCGCUCGAGCGUCCAACAAAUCCCCCAGCACCUAACGGUGAACACGCGACUA
Molecule: long non-coding RNA, 1094 nt
Organism: Sesamum indicum (sesame)
Lineage: Eukaryota; Viridiplantae; Streptophyta; Magnoliopsida; Lamiales; Pedaliaceae
Source: RefSeq, a predicted model, not a curated record